UACGUAGGGUGCGAGCGUUGUCCGGAAUUAUUGGGCGUAAAGGGCUCGUAGGCGGUUUGUCGCGUCGGGAGUGAAAACUCAGGGCUUAACCCUGAGCCUGCUUCCGAUACGGGCAGACUAGAGGUAUGCAGGGGAGAACGGAAUUCCAGGUGUAGCGGUGAAAUGCGUAGAUAUCUGGAGGAAUACCGGUGGCGAAGGCGGCAUCCUGGACCGACAUUGACGCUGAGGAGCGAAAGCUAGGGGAGCAAACGGG
RNAcentral lists this ribosomal RNA (253 nucleotides) under uncultured bacterium. RNAcentral describes it as "partial 16S ribosomal RNA". It matches the Rfam family "Bacterial small subunit ribosomal RNA", at positions 524 to 776 of the family's 1533-position model. The record is from RNAcentral.